CCUACGGGUGGCAGCAGUGAGGAAUAUUGGUCAAUGGACGAGAGUCUGAACCAGCCAAGUAGCGUGAAGGAUGACUGCCCUAUGGGUUGUAAACUUCUUUUAUAUGGGAAUAAAAUGUUCCACGUGUGGGAUUUUGUAUGUACCAUAUGAAUAAGGAUCGGCUAACUCCGUGCCAGCAGCCGCGGUAUAAGGGGGAUCCGAGCGUUAUUCGGAUUUAUUGGGUUUAAAGGGGGCGUAGGUGGGUUGUUAAGUCAGUUGUGAAAGUUUGCGGGUCAACCGUAAAAUUGCAGUUGAAACUGGCAGUCUUGAGUACAGUAGAGGUGGGCGGAAUUCGUGGUGUAGCGGUGAAAUGCUUAGAUAUCACGAAGAACUCCGAUUGCGAAGGCAGUUCACUGGACUGCAACUGACACUGAGGCUCGAAAGUGUGGGUAUCAAACAGGAUUAGAUACCCCAGUAGUC
Molecule: ribosomal RNA, 459 nt
Filed under: uncultured bacterium
Lineage: Bacteria
Description: partial 16S ribosomal RNA
Rfam family: Bacterial small subunit ribosomal RNA
Source: RNAcentral